GAAAUGCGAUACGUAAUGUGAAUUGCAGACCGUGAAUCAUCUAAUCUUUGAACGCAUCUUGCGCUCCCUGGUAUUCCGGGGAGCAUGCCUGUUUGAGAAUCGAUAAACCUACUAGACCCAGUACUAUUGACUGAUUCAGUCGACUGCACUUUGUCUGACUUGGGCAUUGAAACUUGUUUCUCGCCUGGAAGAAAGCGUUGACUGUAGGCCUAAUGUAUGCUUCAUCACUGUGUUUACUUGGUCUUGACCAUUCUUAUGCAGGGCUGAAUUAUGCGCUUUAAUUAGACUGAAGGGCAACUUUUAUAACGAUUCAAACUUGAUUCGACCAUACACUUUACCGUGUCUACUUGGUCUCAAAUCAGGCAAGAGUACCCGCUGAACUUAA
Molecule: unclassified non-coding RNA, 385 nt
Filed under: uncultured fungus
Lineage: Eukaryota; Fungi
Description: sequence contains ITS1
Rfam family: 5.8S ribosomal RNA (bases 1-102)
Source: RNAcentral